UACAGAGGGGGCAAGCGUUGUUCGGAAUUAUUGGGCGUAAAGCGCACGUAGGCGGCUAUCUAAGUCGGAUGUGAAAUCCCUCGGCUUAACCAAGGAAGUGCACCCGAAACUGGAUAGCUUGAGUACAGAAGAGGAUCGCGGAAUUCCCGGUGUAGAGGUGAAAUUCGUAGAUAUCGGGAGGAACACCAGUGGCGAAGGCGGCGAUCUGGGCUGAUACUGACGCUGAGGAGCGAAAGCGUGGGGAGCGAACAGG
This 253-nucleotide ribosomal RNA is filed under the name uncultured bacterium. RNAcentral describes it as "partial 16S ribosomal RNA". It matches the Rfam family "Bacterial small subunit ribosomal RNA", at positions 524 to 776 of the family's 1533-position model. The record is from RNAcentral.